RNAcentral lists this ribosomal RNA (945 nucleotides) under uncultured archaeon. Its description in RNAcentral is "bacterial SSU rRNA". It matches the Rfam family "Archaeal small subunit ribosomal RNA", at positions 1 to 923 of the family's 1478-position model. The record is from RNAcentral.
UCCCGGUUGAUCCUGCCCGGACCCCCACUGCUAUCGGGAUGGGACUAGACAUGCUAGUCGAGCGUCUCAAGCUAUGGAAGAGACGCGGCACACAGCUCAGUAACACGUGGCUAACCUGCCCUUGGGACAAGGACAACCCCGGGAAACUGGGGCUAAUCCUGAUAGGUGAGAACUCCUGGAAUGGAUUCCCGCUGAAAGGACGUUUAGACCAUGCUUCUAGGCGUCGCCCAAGGAGGGGGCCGCGACCGAUCAGGUUGUUGGUGAGGUAACGGCUCACCAAGCCUUUAACCGGUACGGGCCGUGAGAGCGGAAGCCCGGAGAUGGGCACUGAGACAAGGGCCCAGGCCCUACGGGGCGCAGCAGUCGCGAAAACUCCGCAAUACACGAAAGUGUGACGGGGCUAUCCCGAGUGCCAUCCGCUGAGGAUGGCUUUUCCCCAGUGUAUAAAGCUGGGGGAAUAAGGAGAGGGCAAGCCUGGUGUCAGCCGCCGCGGUAAUACCAGCUCUCCGAGUGGUGGGGAUGUUUAUUGGGCCUAAAGCAUUCGUAGCCUGCUUGGCAAGUCCUCCGUUAAAUCCAACGAUUCAAUCGUUGGGCUGCGGGGGAUACUGCCCGGCUAGGGGGCGGGAGAGGCCGACGGUAUCCCCGGGGUAGGGGUGAAAUCCUAUAAUCCCGGGAGGACCACCAGUGGCGAAGGCUGUCGGCUAGAACGCGCUCGACGGUGAGGGAUGAAAGCUGGGGGAGCGAACCGGAUUAGAUACCCGGGUAGUCCCAGCUGUAAACGAUGCAGGCUAGGUGUUGGCGCGGCUACGUGCCGCUCCAGUGCCGCAGGGAAGCCGUUAAGCCUGCCGCCUGGGAAGUACGGCCGCAAGGCUGAAACUUAAAGGAAUUGGCGGGGGAGCACCACAAGGUGUGAAGCUUGCGGUUUAAUUGGAGUCAACGCCGGAA